This 484-nucleotide ribosomal RNA is filed under the name uncultured bacterium. Its description in RNAcentral is "partial 16S ribosomal RNA". It matches the Rfam family "Bacterial small subunit ribosomal RNA", at positions 30 to 507 of the family's 1533-position model. The record is from RNAcentral.
AUUGAACGCUGGCGGCAGGCCUAACACAUGCAAGUCGAGCGGAUGAAGGGAGCUUGCUCCUGGAUUCAGCGGCGGACGGGUGAGUAAUGCCUAGGAAUCUGCCUGGUAGUGGGGGAUAACGUCCGGAAACGGGCGCUAAUACCGCAUACGUCCUGAGGGAGAAAGUGGGGGAUCUUCGGACCUCACGCUAUCAGAUGAGCCUAGGUCGGAUUAGCUAGUUGGUGGGGUAAAGGCCUACCAAGGCGACGAUCCGUAACUGGUCUGAGAGGAUGAUCAGUCACACUGGAACUGAGACACGGUCCAGACUCCUACGGGAGGCAGCAGUGGGGAAUAUUGGGCAAUGGGCGAAAGCCUGAUCCAGCCAUGCCGCGUGUGUGAAGAAGGUCUUCGGAUUGUAAAGCACUUUUAGUUGGGAGGAAGGGCAGUAAGUUAAUAUCUGGCUGUUUUGACGUUACCAACAGAAUAAGCACCGGCUAACUUCGUG